This 1342-nucleotide ribosomal RNA is filed under the name uncultured bacterium. RNAcentral's name for it is "bacterial SSU rRNA". It matches the Rfam family "Bacterial small subunit ribosomal RNA", at positions 28 to 1381 of the family's 1533-position model. The record is from RNAcentral.
GACCAAUGCUGGCGGCGUGCUUAACACAUGCAAGUCGAACGGAAAGGCCCUUUCGGGGGUACUCGAGUGGCGAACGGGUGAGUAACACGUGGGUGAUCUGCCCUGCACUUUGGGAUAAGCCUGGGAAACUGGGUCUAAUACCGAAUACACCCUGCUGGUCGCAUGGCCUGGUGGGGGAAAGCUUUUGCGGUGUGGGAUGGGCCCGCGGCCUAUCAGCUUGUUGGUGGGGUGAUGGCCUACCAAGGCGACGACGGGUAGCCGGCCUGAGAGGGUGUCCGGCCACACUGGGACUGGGAUACGGCCCAGACUCCUACGGGAGGCAGCAGUGGGGAAUAUUGCACAAUGGGCGCAAGCCUGAUGCAGCGACGCCGCGUGAGGGAUGACGGCCUUCGGGUUGUAAACCUCUUUCAGUACCGACGAAGCGCAAGUGACGGUAGGUACAGAAGAAGCACCGGCCAACUACGUGCCAGCAGCCGCGGUAAUACGUAGGGUGCGAGCGUUGUCCGGAAUUACUGGGCGUAAAGAGCUCGUAGGUGGUUUGUCGCGUUGUUCGUGAAAACUCACAGCUUAACUGUGGGCGUGCGGGCGGUACGGGCAGACUGGAGUACUGCAGGGGAGACUGGAAUUCCUGGUGUAGCGGUGGAAUGCGCAGAUAUCAGGAGGAACACCGGUGGCGAAGGCGGGUCUCUGGGCAGUAACUGACGCUGAGGAGCGAAAGCGUGGGGAGCGAACAGGAUUAGAUACCCUGGUAGUCCACGCCGUAAACGGUGGGUACUAGGUGUGGGUUUCCUUCCUUGGGAUCCGUGCCGUAGCUAACGCAUUAAGUACCCCGCCUGGGGAGUACGGCCGCAAGGCUAAAACUCAAAGGAAUUGACGGGGGCCCGCACAAGCGGCGGAGCAUGUGGAUUAAUUCGAUGCAACGCGAAGAACCUUACCUGGGUUUGACAUGCACAGGACGCCGGCAGAGAUGUCGGUUCCCUUGUGGCCUGUGUGCAGGUGGUGCAUGGCUGUCGUCAGCUCGUGUCGUGAGAUGUUGGGUUAAGUCCCGCAACGAGCGCAACCCUUGUCUCAUGUUGCCAGCACGUCAUGGUGGGGACUCGUGAGAGACUGCCGGGGUCAACUCGGAGGAAGGUGGGGAUGACGUCAAGUCAUCAUGCCCCUUAUGUCCAGGGCUUCACACAUGCUACAAUGGCCGGUACAAAGGGCUGCGAUGCCGUGAGGUGGAGCGAAUCCUUUCAAAGCCGGUCUCAGUUCGGAUCGGGGUCUGCAACUCGACCCCGUGAAGUCGGAGUCGCUAGUAAUCGCAGAUCAGCAACGCUGCGGUGAAUACGUUCCCGGGCCU